This 375-nucleotide ribosomal RNA is filed under the name uncultured organism. Its description in RNAcentral is "partial 16S ribosomal RNA". It matches the Rfam family "Bacterial small subunit ribosomal RNA", at positions 527 to 896 of the family's 1533-position model. The record is from RNAcentral.
GUAGGUGGCAAGCGUUGUCCGGAAUUAUUGGGCGUAAAGCGCGCGCAGGCGGUUCUUUAAGUCUGAUGUGAAAGCCCACGGCUCAACCGUGGAGGGUCAUUGGAAACUGGAGAACUUGAGUACAGAAGAGGAAAGCGGAAUUCCACGUGUAGCGGUGAAAUGCGUAGAGAUGUGGAGGAACACCAGUGGCGAAGGCGGCUUUCUGGUCUGUAACUGACGCUGAGGCGCGAAAGCGUGGGGAGCAAACAGGGAUUAGAUACCCUGGUAGUCCACGCCGUAAACGAUGAGUGCUAAGUGUUAGGGGGGUUUCCGCCCCCUUAGUGCUGCAGCUAACGCAUUAAGCACUCCGCCGUGGGGAGUACGGCCGCAAGGCUG